Molecule: ribosomal RNA, 468 nt
Filed under: uncultured bacterium
Lineage: Bacteria
Description: partial 16S ribosomal RNA
Rfam family: Bacterial small subunit ribosomal RNA
Source: RNAcentral
GACGAACGCUGGCGGCGUGCUUAACACAUGCAAGUCGAACGGAAAGGCCCUGCUUUUGUGGGGUGCUCGAGUGGCGAACGGGUGAGUAACACGUGAGUAACCUGCCCUUGACUUUGGGAUAACUUCAGGAAACUGGGGCUAAUACCGGAUAGGAGCUCCUGCUGCAUGGUGGGGGUUGGAAAGUUUCGGCGGUUGGGGCUGGACUAGCGGCUUAUCAGCUUGUUGGUGGGGUAGUGGCUUACCAAGGCUUUGACGGGUAGCCGGCCUGAGAGGGUGGCCGGCCUCCUGGGUCCUGCGGUACGCCCCAGUAUCCUACGGGAGGCAACGGUGGGGAGUCUUACACAAUGGCCCGGCGCGUGAUGCGGCAGCGCCGCGUGCGGGAUGCCCGCCUUCGGGUUGUAAACCGCUUUCGCCUGUGACGAAGCGUGCGUGACGGUAAUGGGUAAAAAAGCACCGGCUAACUACGUG